GAUGAACGCUGGCGGCGUGCCUAAUACAUGCAAGUCGAGCGAACGGACGAGAAGCUUGCUUCUCUGAUGUUAGCGGCGGACGGGUGAGUAACACGUGGAUAACCUACCUAUAAGACUGGGAUAACUUCGGGAAACCGGAGCUAAUACCGGAUGAUAUUUUGAACCGCAUGGUUCAAAAGUGAAAGACGGUCUUGCUGUCACUUAUAGAUGGAUCCGCGCUGCAUUAGCUAGUUGGUAAGGUAACGGCUUACCAAGGCAACGAUGCAUAGCCGACCUGAGAGGGUGAUCGGCCACACUGGAACUGAGACACGGUCCAGGCUCCUACGGGAGGCAGCAGUAGGGAAUCUUCCGCAAUGGGCGAAAGCCUGACGGAGCAACGCCGCGUGAGUGAUGAAGGUCUUCGGAUCGUAAAACUCUGUUAUUAGGGAAGAACAUAUGUGUAAGUAACUGUGCACAUCUUGACGGUACCUAAUCAGAAAGCCGCGGCUAACUACGUG
This 497-nucleotide ribosomal RNA is filed under the name uncultured bacterium. Its description in RNAcentral is "partial 16S ribosomal RNA". It matches the Rfam family "Bacterial small subunit ribosomal RNA", at positions 28 to 507 of the family's 1533-position model. The record is from RNAcentral.